Molecule: ribosomal RNA, 253 nt
Filed under: uncultured bacterium
Lineage: Bacteria
Description: partial 16S ribosomal RNA
Rfam family: Bacterial small subunit ribosomal RNA
Source: RNAcentral
UACGAAGGGGGCUAGCGUUAUUCGGAAUUAUUGGGCGUAAAGGGCGCGUAGGCGGCUUUGCAAGUGACGGGUGAAAGCCCUCGGCUUAACCGAGGAACUGCCUGUCAGACUGUAAGGCUUGAGACCGGGAGAGGUGAGUGGAAUUCCCAGUGUAGCGGUGAAAUGCGUAGAUAUUGGGAGGAACACCAGUGGCGAAGGCGGCUCACUGGACCGGAACUGACGCUGAGGCGCGAAAGCGUGGGGAGCAAACAGG